This 233-nucleotide long non-coding RNA is filed under the name Bos taurus (domestic cattle). RNAcentral describes it as "long non-coding RNA NONBTAT015998". The record is from RNAcentral. Lineage: Eukaryota; Metazoa; Chordata; Mammalia; Artiodactyla; Bovidae.
AAAAGACACCACACACGACCCUUUCUUCCCCCUUCCCCGCUCGGGCACUUUAAAGAAACAGUAGUCUUAUCCCCCUUGAUUAGCAAACUGCCUUUUUGCCUCGAUAAUUGUUUCAUUUAGCCGCAGCGAACCACGAGGGAGGAAAUCCUUGGCAUUUGUUAGGAGGACUCAUCUGCACAACCAUUCUCUGGCCUCCCAGUAGCUGCAGCUACUCCAUUUUGUUAGGAGACAUU